CCUACGGGCGGCAGCAGUGAGGAAUAUUGGUCAAUGGACGAGAGUCUGAACCAGCCAAGUAGCGUGAAGGAUGACUGCCCUAUGGGUUGUAAACUUCUUUUAUAUGGGAAUAAAACGUUCCACGUGUGGGAUUUUGUAUGUACCAUAUGAAUAAGGAUCGACUAACUCCGUGCCAGCAGCCGCGGUAAUACGGAGGAUCCGAGCGUUAUCCGGAUUUAUUGGGUUUAAAGGGAGCGUAGGUGGAUUGUUAAGUCAGUUGUGAAAGUUUGCGGCUCAACCGUAAAAUUGCAGUUGAAACUGGCAGUCUUGAGUACAGUAGAGGUGGGCGGAAUUCGUGGUGUAGCGGUGAAAUGCUUAGAUAUCACGAAGAACUCCGAUUGCGAAGGCAGUUCACUGGACUGCAACUGACACUGAGGCUCGAAAGUGUGGGUAUCAAACAGGAUUAGAUACCCUAGUAGUC
This 460-nucleotide ribosomal RNA is filed under the name uncultured bacterium. RNAcentral describes it as "partial 16S ribosomal RNA". It matches the Rfam family "Bacterial small subunit ribosomal RNA", at positions 338 to 795 of the family's 1533-position model. The record is from RNAcentral.